GAUGAACGCUGGCGGCGUGCUUAACACAUGCCAGUCGAACGGAAAGGCCCAAGCUUGCUUGGGUACUCGAGUGGCGAACGGGUGAGUAACACGUGGGUGAUCUGCCCUGCACUUCGGGAUGAGCCUGGGAAACUGGGUCUAAUACUGGAUAGGACCACUUCUUGGAUGUUGUGGUGGAAAGUUUUUUCGGUGUGGGAUGAGCUCGCGGCCUAUCAGCUUGUUGGUGGGGUAAUGGCCUACCAAGGCGUCGACGGGUAGCCGGCCUGAGAGGGUGUACGGCCACAUUGGGACUGAGAUACGGCCCAGACUCCUACGGGAGGCAGCAGUGGGGAAUAUUGCACAAUGGGCGCAAGCCUGAUGCAGCGACGCCGCGUGGGGGAUGACGGCCUUCGGGUUGUAAACUCCUUUCGCUAGGAACGAAGCGUUUUGUGACGGGACCUGGAGAAGAAGCACCGGCUAACUACGU
This 466-nucleotide ribosomal RNA is filed under the name uncultured bacterium. Its description in RNAcentral is "partial 16S ribosomal RNA". It matches the Rfam family "Bacterial small subunit ribosomal RNA", at positions 28 to 506 of the family's 1533-position model. The record is from RNAcentral.